This is a long non-coding RNA of Daucus carota subsp. sativus, 372 nucleotides long. RefSeq lists it as uncharacterized. The record is from RefSeq and is a predicted model, not a curated record. The transcript is spliced from 3 exons. Lineage: Eukaryota; Viridiplantae; Streptophyta; Magnoliopsida; Apiales; Apiaceae.
GAUUUGUUGAAUAACAUAGUCAUGUCUCGCUCCUUGGCUCUCCCUCUCUACCCCUCACCCCGUCUCUCUCCGUGUCUCUAUCUCAUUUUCUACAAGUCUUACUCAGAUCUGUUGUGCCGGCAGUGACCCCAAACGGUUCAAGUUUUUGAUGUCGGCGUUGACCUCUCUGCUUGAUUUAACAACAAUUUACCUUAUAAAGAGGUGCCAAGUUCAGAGCCAAGGGGUCUCAUCUUUCUCUGCCAUGGUUAUGAUAUGGAGUGUAGUAUCUUUGUGAAAGGGAUUUGGCUUGCGAAAGCAAGAUAUGCAGUUCAUGGUAUCCACUAUCAUGGUCAUGGGAAGCUACUGAUAAGUGUCUUGUCAUGUAUUUUGUUG